GUGGGAAAGGGUCCCUUCCAAGAGGCUCAAGACAGGGCUGCCCGAGGACUGGUGGUCUGGAAAGAGCUCCUCUCUUGCGUCCACCUGAUUCCCCAACGCCUCAAUUGGAAUGGGUGCUUCAGCCCAGGCUGGCAGGCAGCCCAGAAGGCCAGGAAAACUUUCCCUUUGGAUCGUCUCCUCCCUUCCGGCUUUCCCGCUGGAUCCCAAUCCCAUCUGCCUCAGGCUUGGAUUCUCAGCAUUUAGUUCCAUCCUGAAGUGAGAAGAGAGAUUUUGACCUGGAAAUCCCUGCAAAACUAGCAGGGCCUUGUAGAUAAUAUGUUAUGACUGGGUAAAUGUCAAAUGAAGGAAUGAAGCGAGGAACUGUCGCCCCCAUGGUUCCCUUCUGUUCUUCCUGGAGUCAAGAACCAGAUCAAGAUGCAGAAUAUUUCCAGCAUGCCGGAAGGCUCCCUCAUGCCUCCCCAGUCGGUACCCUCCCCACAGCCUGAAUAAUAUGCCAUUGUAUGGAUAUACCACAUUCUGUUUAUCCCUGCAUCCACUGAUGGACACUUGGGUUGCUUCCACCUUUUGGCUAUCGUGGAUAAUGCUGCUGUGAACAUGGCUGUACAGAUGUCUCUUAGAGACUCUGCUUUCAGUUCUUUGGGGUGUGUAUCCAGAACUGGAUCAUAUGACACACUCAUCCUUGUCUUGGGAGACAACUCAAAGUCACACCCAGGAUCUCCACGUCAAGCACAUUCUUCCCCCUCGAACCAGGAGCUUCCAGUACCAGGGAGGAGGAAAGGAGAGAGAGCCAAGAGACAAGGAAAGGAAGAGAAAGAAGAGGAACAGAGAGCACCCCAAAGUACCACAAACUGAGUGGCUUGUAAACAACAGAAACUUACUGCUCACCCUUCUGGAGGCUGGAUCCGAGAUGAGGGUGCCAACAUGCCUGGGUUCUGCUGAGGGCCCUCUGCCGGGUUGCCGAUGGCUUGCUAUGUCCUCACAAGGCAGAAGGAAGGGGGUCCCAAGGCAGCUGUUCCCUCAAGACUGUCCAGCCUGCAGCUGCCAAGCUCAGAGGCCAGCCCAGCUACAGGAUCAGCUCAGCGUGGUCACUCUCGACCCCACUCCUCCCCUCCUCACUCCUUCUGUUCUCCAUUUCCUGUCCUGGGUGUUCCUUGUCGCCACCAGCAGUGGAAGAAGAUGAGACUGUGUCUGUGAGCAGAAGAGCAUCACUGGACUCAGCUGAGAAAACUGGGAGGAAGCUUCGAAUGGAUAUCUGCAUACUUGUGUUCACAGCAGCAUCAUUCACAGUAGUCAAAAGGCAGAAGCAACCCAAAUGCCCAUGGACAGAUGAGGGGGUAAACAAAAUGUGAUGUACACAGACAAUGGGAUAUUAUCCAGCCUCAAAAAGGAAGGAAAUUCUGACACACACUACAACAUGGAUGAACCUUGAAGACAUUAUACUAAUCGAAAUAAGCCAGACACAAGAGAACGAGUACAAUAUGAUUCCAUUAAUGUGAAGUAUCUGGAAUAGUCCAAUUCACAGAGACAAAAGGAGAAUGGUGGUUACCAGAGGCUGGAAGGGGUUGGGGAAGGGAGAAUUAGUGUUUAACGGGCGCUGAGUUUCAGUCUGGGGAGCUGAAAAAGCUCUGGUGAUGGAUGCCGGUGAUGAUGGCACAACUACCUGAAUGUACCUAGUGCCAAUGAACUGUACACUUAAAAAUCGUUAAAAUGAUAAAUUUUAUGUUAUGUAUAUUUUAUCACAAUAAAAAAUUUAAGGGCUGGCCCCGUGGCCGAGUGGUUAAGUUCGCGCGCUCCGCUGCAGGCAGCCCAGCGUUUCGUUGGUUCGAAUCCUGGGUGCGGACAUGGCACUGCUCAUCAGACCACGCUGAGGCAGCGUCCCACAUGCCACAACUAGAAGAACCCACAACGAAGAAUAUACAACUAUGUACCGGGGGGCUUUGGGGAGAAAAAGGAAAUAAUAAAAUCUUUAAAAAAAAAAAAAAUU
Molecule: long non-coding RNA, 1984 nt
Organism: Equus asinus (donkey)
Lineage: Eukaryota; Metazoa; Chordata; Mammalia; Perissodactyla; Equidae
Source: Ensembl